Molecule: small RNA, 162 nt
Filed under: Gopherus agassizii (Agassiz's desert tortoise)
Lineage: Eukaryota; Metazoa; Chordata; Testudines; Testudinidae
Description: TUC338 (ENSGAGG00000022450.1)
Source: RNAcentral
ACGACAGUCCUGGAGACACAAGUCCUCUGUUUGGCCACAGGACAGGGAGAACCUGGGCUGCAGCAAGACAAGCUUCCCAACCCUGCCCUGCCAACAUGACUCCCCCUGCUAGGAUAGUGAAGGGGGCUCUGCCUUCACAGCCUGCUCAAGCUUUGGGCUAAU